UACGGAGGGUGCAAGCGUUAUCCGGAUUUAUUGGGUUUAAAGGGUCCGUAGGCGGAUCCGUAAGUCAGUGGUGAAAUCUCAUAGCUUAACUAUGAAACUGCCAUUGAUACUGCGGGUCUUGAGUGAGAUUGAGGUAGCUGGAAUAAGUAGUGUAGCGGUGAAAUGCAUAGAUAUUACUUAGAACACCAAUUGCGAAGGCAGGUUACCAAGUCUUAACUGACGCUGAUGGACGAAAGCGUGGGGAGCGAACAGG
This 253-nucleotide ribosomal RNA is filed under the name uncultured bacterium. RNAcentral describes it as "partial 16S ribosomal RNA". It matches the Rfam family "Bacterial small subunit ribosomal RNA", at positions 524 to 776 of the family's 1533-position model. The record is from RNAcentral.